This is an RNA transcript of Chenopodium quinoa (quinoa), 1280 nucleotides long. It is a transcript of the gene named thioredoxin H1-like, with no coding region annotated. The transcript has 2 exons. The record is from RefSeq and is a predicted model, not a curated record. NCBI's taxonomy places the organism in Eukaryota, Viridiplantae, Streptophyta, Magnoliopsida, Caryophyllales, Amaranthaceae.
UAUACUUGUUCUUUGGAUUUGAACUCAUCUCAAAGGUAUGUUCUUUUACUUUCAAGUGUAAGUUAAUAUAUACUCACGAUUAUUUUCCUGUUUAUUCUUGCAUUUGAUUUUCAAGUUAUUUAUCUUUUUCCAUUGCUUCUCAAGUUCCCCAAUUUCUUUUGUUUUAGCCCUUAUAAAAGCACAUUAUGCUUUGGGUUUGUCAUUUUAGUUCACGUUCACAAUAAUGAUAUUUGAUAUUUUCUUUUAACUUCGUGUUUAUUGGAGAAUAGGUAUUGUGUCAUUAUUGGGUUGUGCACUUGUGUGCUUAUAGUUUUUUCUUUUUUUAUUUUUUUUUAUUGAAGAUGGUAGAUAAUGUGCCCUCAUGCAUUGCUAUGUUUCAUUCAACUUUUGGGCAUGCUUUUUAUUAAGGGUAAUAUGGAGCCAAACAAAGAAGAUGAAAAGGGUAAAGUGUUGGUAGAUGGAUUUACAAGUGUUUUGCGAAGAAGUGAUAGUAGAUUAGUAGGGACGUAGGAUAAUUAGUAUCCCCAAAAGGAGAGUAUUUUCCCCUUCACGAUUGUUACUUCCUAAUUGUUCAAAAUUUGAGGGAGUGAAUACUAUAUAACCCAAAGAUGAAGAUAGGAGCUAUAAAUUUUCUUUCACGUGUGGCUCAAAAACGCACACCUGAAUGAAUUGCUUUCUUUCUCUUCAGAAAGGAAUAACCAAUGCUGGUGGAAGUUCGAAUGAUGGGGGUUCUUGUGAGCUCUCCUACUACUCUAGUUGGGCAGGAUUUAUCUGUCUUUGAUUUUUGUUUGUUUCCUCUCUGCUUGUCUUUUUUUCUGGCUUUUGAAAGAGUUUGGAUGUUAAUGACAUGUGCUUAUCAUAUAUGAGUUUUUCAAUGCACAGAUGGUUGUUGAUUUCACUGCUUCAUGGUGUCCACCUUGCCGUUUAAUUGCACCUUUCCUGGCUGAGCUUGCUAAGAAGCUUCCCCAAGUCAUAUUUGUUAAGGUGGAUGUGGAUGAGUUAAAGUUGCAAGUGAUUGGGCUAUUGAGGCAAUGCCAACGUUCAAGUUCCUGCGAGAAGGCAAGAUUAUUGAUACGGUCGUGGGUGCAAAGAAGGAAGAGCUGGAGGCGACUAUAGCAAAGCAUGUUUCUACUGCUUAAUUGGUUGAAUUGUUGUAUGUUGGGGUUUCUAUCGUUUACUACGUAUUUGCCUAUUUGGUAUGAAGCAACAGAUCUUAUCAUAAAGUAGUUAUGCUGGUUUCAGGAAAUAUUACAUCUUAAUAAUGUGUUGCUGCUCUUUGA